AAAAUAGAAGAUUAUGAAAUAGAAACAUUAGCUCUAGUAGACUCAGGAUGCACGAGAUGUAUAAUAAAUAAAAGGAUAGUUCCACCUAAUUUAAUAAAUACAUUAGAUAAGCCAGUAGCAGCCAUGCAAAUGGAUGGAACUCAUAUUAUUUAUAAACAUUAUAUAGAUAAAUCACAGAUUAGUUUUGUAAAUACAUGUUUA
RNAcentral lists this long non-coding RNA (201 nucleotides) under Nicotiana benthamiana. RNAcentral's name for it is "long non-coding RNA (NBEN_LNC028550)". The record is from RNAcentral. Lineage: Eukaryota; Viridiplantae; Streptophyta; Magnoliopsida; Solanales; Solanaceae.